Molecule: transfer RNA, 74 nt
Filed under: Enterobacteriaceae bacterium
Lineage: Bacteria; Pseudomonadati; Pseudomonadota; Gammaproteobacteria; Enterobacterales; Enterobacteriaceae
Also listed under: 1 other name
Description: tRNA-Arg
Rfam family: tRNA
About the family: Transfer RNA (tRNA) molecules are approximately 80 nucleotides in length. Their secondary structure includes four short double-helical elements and three loops (D, anti-codon, and T loops). Further hydrogen bonds mediate the characteristic L-shaped molecular structure. tRNAs have two regions of fundamental functional importance: the anti-codon, which is responsible for specific mRNA codon recognition, and the 3' end, to which the tRNAs corresponding amino acid is attached (by aminoacyl-tRNA synthetases). tRNAs cope with the degeneracy of the genetic code in two manners: having more than one tRNA (with a specific anti-codon) for a particular amino acid; and 'wobble' base-pairing, i.e. permitting non-standard base-pairing at the 3rd anti-codon position.
Source: RNAcentral
GCACUUGUAGCUUAAAUGGAUAAAGCAUUAUAUUCCGAAUUUAAUAGAUGGAGGUUCAAAUCCUCCCAAGUGCA